AUCCGCCACCAUGUUCAUACGUUCCACGUUGUCUCCACGACAUCACACUUCUACGUUACUUCAUUUACAGGCACGCCGCAUGCCUGCUCCGGCGAUGAAUCAUGCCAACCUAAAAGAUUACCACAUGACCCAACAAGAAACGAUGUAACGCCCGAGACAUACAUAUAUGUCAUUCCACCACGUUACACCGGCACACAUAGGCCUUAAGCCUUUCUCUAACUCAUUUACAUCUCCC
RNAcentral lists this long non-coding RNA (235 nucleotides) under Brassica napus (rape). Its description in RNAcentral is "long non-coding RNA (BNAP_LNC020294)". Lineage: Eukaryota; Viridiplantae; Streptophyta; Magnoliopsida; Brassicales; Brassicaceae. The record is from RNAcentral.